Molecule: ribosomal RNA, 462 nt
Filed under: uncultured bacterium
Lineage: Bacteria
Description: bacterial SSU rRNA
Rfam family: Bacterial small subunit ribosomal RNA
Source: RNAcentral
CCUACGGGAGGCAGCAGUGGGGAAUAUUGCACAAUGGGCGCAAGCCUGAUGCAGCCAUGCCGCGUGUAUGAAGAAGGCCUUCGGGUUGUAAAGUACUUUCAGCAGUGAGGAAGGUGGGUAUGUUAAUAGCAUACUCAUUUGACGUUAGCUGCAGAAGAAGCACCGGCUAACUCCGUGCCAGCAGCCGCGGUAAUACGGAGGGUGCGAGCGUUAAUCGGAAUUACUGGGCGUAAAGCGCAUGCAGGUGGUUUGUUAAGUCAGAUGUGAAAGCCCGGGGCUCAACCUCGGAAUUGCAUUUGAAACUGGCAAACUAGAGUACUGUAGAGGGGGUAGAAUUUCAGGUGUAGCGGUGAAAUGCGUAGAGAUCUGAAGGAAUACCGGUGGCGAAGGCGGCCCCCUGGACAGAUACUGACACUCAGAUGCGAAAGCGUGGGGAGCAAACAGGAUUAGAUACCCUGGUAG